This 497-nucleotide ribosomal RNA is filed under the name uncultured bacterium. RNAcentral's name for it is "partial 16S ribosomal RNA". It matches the Rfam family "Bacterial small subunit ribosomal RNA", at positions 28 to 507 of the family's 1533-position model. The record is from RNAcentral.
GAUGAACGCUGGCGGCGUGCCUAAUACAUGCAAGUCGAGCGAACAGACGAGGAGCUUGCUCCUCUGACGUUAGCGGCGGACGGGUGAGUAACACGUGGAUAACCUACCUAUAAGACUGGGAUAACUUCGGGAAACCGGAGCUAAUACCGGAUAACAUGUUGAACCGCAUGGUUCAACAGUGAAAGACGGUCUUGCUGUCACUUAUAGAUGGAUCCGCGCCGCAUUAGCUAGUUGGUAAGGUAACGGCUUACCAAGGCAACGAUGCGUAGCCGACCUGAGAGGGUGAUCGGCCACACUGGAACUGAGACACGGUCCAGACUCCUACGGGAGGCAGCAGUAGGGAAUAUUCCGCAAUGGGCGAAAGCCUGACGGAGCCACGCCGCGUGAGUGAAGAAGGUCUUCGGAUCGUAAAACUCUGUUAUUAGGGAAGAACAAAUGUGUAAGUAACUAUGCACGUCUUGACGGUACCUAAUCAGAAAGCCACGGCUAACUACGUG